UACGUAGGUGGCGAGCGUUGUCCGGAUUUACUGGGCGUAAAGGGAGCGUAGGCGGACUUUUAAGUGAGAUGUGAAAUACCCGGGCUCAACUUGGGUGCUGCAUUUCAAACUGGAAGUCUAGAGUGCAGGAGAGGAGAAUGGAAUUCCUAGUGUAGCGGUGAAAUGCGUAGAUAUUAGGAGGAACACCAGUGGCGAAGGCGGCUUUCUGGACAGUAACUGACGCUGAGGCGCGAAAGCGUGGGGAGCAAACAGGAUUAGAUACCCGCGUAGU
Molecule: ribosomal RNA, 271 nt
Filed under: uncultured prokaryote
Description: partial 16S ribosomal RNA
Rfam family: Bacterial small subunit ribosomal RNA
Source: RNAcentral